UUGAAUCAAACUUUUAAAACAGAGAUACAGAAAACUCUUCAUGAAAAGAUUUUUUUGUCUUCCUUUCUUUGUAUGUUUGAUAUACAGAUAACUGUUAACAGUAUUCUGAUUUCCAUUAUUCACAUUUCUGUAGUGACAAGGAUCAAGUAUCUGCAGGCAUUUCUUUGUCCCGGGAAAAGCAGAUUUUUUCAAGGAAAUGAUGUGUUGAUAUAUAAUAGAACAUACAUAAAUACUUUUGCUAGCUGUGCAGUUAGUUAGAAAGUGUUGAUGUUUUGACAUUGGGUGGCUGUUGGUCACUGCAGAUGGAAUUGCUGAAAGAAAUUUACAUAACCUGUUAAGAGACCAAUCAUUGUUGCACUAGAUUAGGUACUCAAGUUAGUUUACAGAAUUUUGAUUAUUUUUGGUUGGCUUGGUAUGAGAUUGGCUUUCGAUUAUAUGCUUCAAUUGGGUCUAAUGACUCUUCCCUGUCAUUGUAAAUGGAAUCAGUGGAGAUAGGUCAAUGACAAGGUUGAUUAUAGACCAGGGCUUACAGAAGCUAAUCAUCUGCAGUCUUCAUUUACAUACAUGCUUCUGCUGUUGGCUUCCAGCCAAGGCUGGUGUAGUAUAGUACAUGAAUUUUGGAGUCAUUAUUGAUCAUAUAUUUCCAACAAGUGUGAUGAGGUGGAGUUGGCUUAAGUUGAAAUGUUUAGUGGAAAACAUUGGUUCGUUAAAAGUAGCAGUGGAUCUACAGCUCUUUUUUGAGAAUGAAUUGCUAUUAUGUUUGCUGUCUACACUGAGGUGUGGCAUGAAGCCUUUCUCUCGUCUCCUUUAUACCUUGGUGGAUCUGUGUUUCCGGACACUUUUCCUUUUGAAAGUUGAGAUCCCGUUCAGAGGCUGACAGACUUGUCCCUAGAAGAAAGGGUGGCUUCUGUCAACAGACGCUGGACUGUGCAGGGCAGCUGCAGUGGUUCUGGCUGGUUGCUGUGGUCAGUGGGAGUCGUGGCAUGUUCCUGGGGGCAGUCACAUCUCUGAACAUUUCCUUUAUGACAGUUAGUGCAGUUUUAAAAAAGGAAAAAUCUUCAAUGUUAACCUUUUUUCUGUCUCUUAUUUCUACCCUUUAAGAUUAUCUUUAUGACUUCUAAGGAUAUUUUAAGCUCACAGUCACACUUGGAAGCAGUGCCCUUGUAAGGCUCUGCCUAGUGUGGCUGUAUUAGAAAGGUCAUUCCUGGUUCUUACAUGUGCUUCUCCUUUCCACGUCUCCCACUGGCGUGCUGACUUUCCAAGGGGAACGUGAAGCUGUCCGCAGUCCUUGCCCUUGCCCUUUCUUUUGGAGACUGUGUGAAUGAGCAGCAGCCACUUUAAUGUGAGGCAGCCAUAUAAACAAUGAACUUUCACUUGCUGCCAGGAGGUCAUAAACUCAAGGUCACCAAAUGAAUUCUAGCUUCAGCUCUUGGUUUAGUAAUGUACCAAGUUUGGUAUUACUUUUUGUUUGUUUUAAUCAGGUUUCUGCCCUCAUCUUCUAUUUGGGAAAUUAAAACUGGUCUGUUGGCAUGGCUGGUGACUGAGCGGCAGGCACAUUCUUAGUCUCUGACUUUCUGCAGCCAUCUUUGAGUGCAUAUAAGUGUUGGGUAACAGUCUACUGAAUGUGCUACAAGUGUGCGGAGUUGUGUUCAUCUUUAACUUGUUUUUUUUAAAAAACACUCUCUUGGUAAAUUGGGAUCUCCUGUUGAAAACUGUAUUUGUUUGGCAGUUGAGUUUAUGCCUGGAGCCCCUAGAGCACAUUUAACUGGUUGGUGGUCAGUUGUACCAUACUG
Molecule: long non-coding RNA, 1793 nt
Filed under: Homo sapiens (human)
Lineage: Eukaryota; Metazoa; Chordata; Mammalia; Primates; Hominidae
Description: non-protein coding lnc-SLC15A1-1:1
Source: RNAcentral